ACUAAAGCUAGCCCAAACAGUAAGCAAUCCACAAAACUAUUCUAACAAAUAUAAAACAAAACAUUUAUCCCUUAAAAGUAUAGGAGAUAGAAAUUAACUUCUGGCGCUAUAGAGAAAGUACCGUAAGGGAACGACUGAAAGAUAAAUUAAAAGUAUAAAACAGCAAAGAUUACCCCUUGUACCUUUUGCAUAAUGAUUUAACUAGAACAACCCCAGCAAAGAGCCCUGAAGCUGGUAACCCCGAAACCAGACGAGCUAUUCAUGAACAGCUGUAAGAGCAAAUUCAUCUAUGUGGCAAAAUAGUGAAGAGAUUUAUGAAUAGGGGUGAAAAGCCAACCGAGCCUGGUGAUAGCUGGUUGUCCAGAUAAGAAUUUUAGUUCAACUUUAAAUUUACUAUUCAGAAAUCUUAAUCAUCAUCCGUAAAUUUAAAUGUUAAUCCAAAGGGGUACAGCUCUUUGGAUCAGGAUACAACCUUUAUUAGAGAGUAAAUUAAUUUAAUAACCAUAGUUGGCCUAAAAGCAGCCACCAAUUAAGAAAGCGUUCAAGCUCAACAAUUCUAUUAUCCUCAAUGUAAUUAAUAUAACUCAACUCCUAACCUAACACUGGACUAAUCUAUAAUUUUAUAGAAGAAAUACUGUUAAUAUGAGUAACAAGAUUUAAAUCUCCUAGCACAAGCAUAUAUCAGAACAAAUACUAGCUGAUAGUUAACAGCCAAAUAAAUAAAUUCUAACAAUUAAAACUUUAUUCCAUCACUGUUAAUCCAACACAGGUGUGCAUUAAGGAAAGAUUAAAAGAAGUAAAAGGAACUCGGCAAACAUAAACCCCGCCUGUUUACCAAAAACAUCACCUCUAGCAUUAUUAGUAUUAGAGGCACUGCCUGCCCAGUGACAAUUGUUUAACGGCCGCGGUAUCCUGACCGUGCAAAGGUAGCAUAAUCAUUUGUUCCUUAAAUAGGGACUUGUAUGAAUGGCCACACGAGGGUUUAACUGUCUCUUACUUCCUAUCAGUGAAAUUGACCUUUCCGUGAAGAGGCGGAAAUAAACAAAUUAGACGAGAAGACCCUAUGGAGCUUCAAUUUAUCUACACCAACAGAAUAACUUUACAUCCAUCAAGGACUAACACUCAUUCUAACUGGUUAGAAAAUUUCGGUUGGGGUGACCUCGGAGUAUAAAUUAACCCCCGAGAAGAAUUACUAAGACUGACAAGUCAAAGUUUCAAAUAUUAAUUGAUCCAGUCUAACUGAUCAACGAAACAAGUUACCCUAGGGAUAACAGCGCAAUCCUAUUCUAGAGUCCUUAUCGACAAUAGGGUUUACGACCUCGAUGUUGGAUCAGGACAUCCUAAUGGUGCAGCAGCUAUUAAUGGUUCGUUUGUUCAACGAUUAAAGUCCUACGUGAUCUGAGUUCAGACCGGAGUAAUCCAGGUCGGUUUCUAUCUAUUUAACAUUUCUCCCAGUACGAAAGGACAAGAGAAAUGGGGCCAACUCCCUGCCGAGCGCCCUCAAGCCAAUAAAUGAUAUUAUCUCAAUUUAAUAAACUUAAUAUAUAUAUAUUAGCCUUAGACCAAGGUUUUUU
This 1574-nucleotide ribosomal RNA is filed under the name Parablarinella griselda (Indochinese short-tailed shrew). RNAcentral describes it as "16S ribosomal RNA". It matches the Rfam family "Bacterial large subunit ribosomal RNA". Lineage: Eukaryota; Metazoa; Chordata; Mammalia; Eulipotyphla; Soricidae. The record is from RNAcentral.